This is a non-coding RNA of Megalobrama amblycephala (Wuchang bream), 924 nucleotides long. The record is from the annotation of a RefSeq genome assembly. Lineage: Eukaryota; Metazoa; Chordata; Actinopteri; Cypriniformes; Xenocyprididae.
UGAUGAUUAUUAGUGUGACACCGACACACACACACACACACUUAAAACAAUGAUGUCUCUUAUUCUAAUGCUGUGGACACUCGGUCUGCUCGCUCAAGUGUCUCAUCAAGAGGUUCAGUCUCCUGAGUCUCUGAGUGUUAAAGCAGGAGAGUCAGUCUCUAUGAGCUGCACUGGGACCAGCGGAGUUGGUGAUGACAUGAGCUGGUAUCUGCAGAAACCUGGAGAAGCUCCUAAACUUCUGAUCUAUACAGCAAGUGAACUUGAAUCUGGAGUCCCAGAUCGGUUCAGUGGAAGUGGAAAUGAACCUGAUUUUACACUGAAUAUUCGUGGAGUCCAGCCUGAGGAUGCAGGAGUUUAUUACUGUAUGGGGGCUUACAGUGACAGGUGGACGUUCGGUGGAGGAACUCGACUCUCUGUUGGAACUGCCACUCGUCCCACUCUCACGGUCCUGCCGCCCUCCAGAGACGAGCUGCAGCAGGGUAAGGCUACAGUGGUGUGUGUGGGCAGUAAGGGAUUCCCCUCUGACUGGAAGCUGAGCUGGAAGGUGGAUGGCAGCAGCAGGAGCUCUGCUGUGAAUCUGAGUCCCAGUGUGCUGCAGAAGGAUGGACUGUACAGCUGGAGCAGCAGCCUGAGCCUCACUGAGAGUGAGUGGAGCAGAGCAACAACCAUCAGCUGUGACGCCACGCACCCAUCCCAGAAUGCAGUGACCGAGAGCCUGAACACACAGCAGUGUGAUGACCAGUGAAACACACACACAUCACACAGAGAUUAUAGGCAUGAAUAAUUAUUCAUUCUUACACACACAGUGUACCAUUUUGCUCUGUAUGUUAAUCUUUCUUUAAUCCUGUUUUAACAUGUAACUUUUCAAUAAAUGUGUGUUUGUUACAUUUUUUUUUACCAAUUAAAAGCUUUUUGAAUCAUUAA